Non-coding RNA from Hydra vulgaris (swiftwater hydra), 724 nucleotides. Lineage: Eukaryota; Metazoa; Cnidaria; Hydrozoa; Anthoathecata; Hydridae. The record is from RefSeq and is a predicted model, not a curated record.
UUCUAACAUAUAUAAUAUUUGCACAUAAUAUUUUAUUUACAAAUAGAUAAUGCUAUGAUAGGUUUUUUAAAUACCCGUUAUUAAACUAUUUAGCAGUUUAAUUAAAUGCGAAUAAAAAUACAGAGCCUUUUUUUUUAAGACAUUCAAUUCAGUUGUCUAAGACAGUUAGAAGUUGUAUUAAAACAAGGUUUUUACUUAAUAUACAUAAUAUAUUGAGUAUAAAUUUAAGGCAAUUAAGUUAUAUUAAGACAAUGUCUUAAUCAUAAUAUAUAUUUUAUUUAUUUGAAUGGAAAGUUUUUUGGUUUGUUGUGGAACUAGACUAGAAAUUACUUAAUAAGCUUCUUGUUUCUUUUACGAAUUUGUAUAUUGGUAUAAUCAUAUCAUGCUAUUCCUGCAAUAUUAUAACACACACUGACUCUUAUAAGUUUGAGUCUCAAGUCACGAAAAAAGUUAAUGUUGCUAAACGAUUUACAGUCAAUAAUCUUUCGAAAGCAGAAAAACUCAGUGUAAAACAAAGAAUACGCGAAUUAUUUGAGAUAUAAUUGAAAUUUGCAAAGAAAGUAAAAAUCAAACUAGUUUCAUUCUAAGUUAUUGUAUAUAAUUUUAAAAUUUUGGAAUAGAAGUAAUGCAAUGUUUAUUUAUUUUUAGUCUUUUAAUUUCCGUAUUCAAUUAUUUGCCCGAACUAAUAUAAUAAUCGUGUAUAACCUAAAUAAAUAAGAAAAAA